This 253-nucleotide ribosomal RNA is filed under the name uncultured bacterium. RNAcentral's name for it is "partial 16S ribosomal RNA". It matches the Rfam family "Archaeal small subunit ribosomal RNA", at positions 474 to 727 of the family's 1478-position model. The record is from RNAcentral.
UACCAGCACCCCGAGUGGUCGGGACGUUUAUUGGGCCUAAAGCAUCCGUAGCCGGUUCUACAAGUCUUCCGUUAGAUCCAACUGCUUAACAGGUGGGCUGCGGAAGAUACUAUAGAGCUAGGAGGCGGGAGAGGCAAGCGGUACUCGAUGGGUAGGGGUAAAAUCCGUUGAUCCAUUGAAGACCACCAGUGGCGAAGGCGGCUUGCCAGAACGCGCUCGACGGUGAGGGAUGAAAGCUGGGGGAGCAAACCGG